UUCCUGGUGGCUCAGAGGUUAAAGCGUCUGCCUGCAAUGCAGGAGACCUGGGUUCGAUCUCUGGGUCUGGAAG
Transfer RNA from Ovis aries (sheep), 73 nucleotides. It matches the Rfam family "tRNA". Rfam says of the family: Transfer RNA (tRNA) molecules are approximately 80 nucleotides in length. Their secondary structure includes four short double-helical elements and three loops (D, anti-codon, and T loops). The record is from Rfam. Lineage: Eukaryota; Metazoa; Chordata; Mammalia; Artiodactyla; Bovidae.